Molecule: unclassified non-coding RNA, 269 nt
Filed under: Hevea brasiliensis (rubber tree)
Lineage: Eukaryota; Viridiplantae; Streptophyta; Magnoliopsida; Malpighiales; Euphorbiaceae
Source: RNAcentral
AUUCUUCGUUCCUGCAAUCUCUUGAUAGGUACUAGUGAUUAUGAAAUCUGAAUGAUUCAUUGACAGUAGGUCAGCAGUAAACUGACAUGAAAAAUGAUAUUUCUCCUCAAACUUUUUCCAAUAGAUGUCAGAAUCAGGAUACUUUGUUUUCUCCAAAGCAUGAGCAAUGGUACACUGUGUGAUGCCCAUUUUAUAUGCUAACAGGGAGGCAACUAAAUUUCCAUCACUGUAGUUGCCAAUAAUCAGAUCAGGCACUCCCUGGAGCUCAG